RNAcentral lists this ribosomal RNA (492 nucleotides) under uncultured bacterium. Its description in RNAcentral is "partial 16S ribosomal RNA". It matches the Rfam family "Bacterial small subunit ribosomal RNA", at positions 29 to 507 of the family's 1533-position model. The record is from RNAcentral.
AGUGAACGCUGGCGGUAGGCCUAACACAUGCAAGUCGAACGGCAGCACCGUAAGAGCUUGCUCUUACGGGUGGCGAGUGGCGGACGGGUGAGGAAUACAUCGGAAUCUACUUUUUCGUGGGGGAUAACGUAGGGAAACUUACGCUAAUACCGCAUACGACCUACGGGUGAAAGCAGGGGAUCUUCGGACCUUGCGCGAUUGAAUGAGCCGAUGUCGGAUUAGCUAGUUGGCGGGGUAAAGGCCCACCAAGGCGACGAUCCGUAGCUGGUCUGAGAGGAUGAGCAGCCACACUGGAACUGAGAAACGGUCCAGACUCCUACGGGAGGCAGCAGUGGGGAAUAUUGGACAAUGGGCGCAAGCCUGAUCCAGCCAUACCGCGUGGGUGAAGAAGGCCUUCGGGUGGUAAAGCACUUUUGUUGGGAAAGAAAAGCAGCAGGUUAAUACCCCGCUGUUCUGACGGUACCAAAAGAAUAAGCACCGGCUAACUUCGUG